UGUUUGCACCAAAGGCUCUGUCCCUUCCUUCACAUUUGCUGAGGGAAACUUCCUUAAGGGGUCAUUGAUGCUUCUCCCCUGGCAUUUCCAGACAUGCCCCUUUUCUGUAGAGAGAGACCAGGACUGAGUUCUGAGGUGUCCCUGUGUUCUCAGCACUUCCCACUUAUUUCUCCUUGAGCAGGGCUUCCAGUAACUAAACCAGCUGUAAUUUCUUUUCUGCAGAGACAUGAAGCCUGGUGGCUAUCAAGGGAGCAGACCCCAGAUGCAUUUCUGAGGGGUCCACUCACUGUGCCUCGCGGGCCGAGGCAAAGAAAUAAGAAGGAAAUGAAACCAGGAAGGAAAAGUGAGGAAGAAGAGGUUUCCAAUCACAGAGGACAGCCAGGGAAAGGGCACAAAGUCAGGAGUGUCAUUUAUAAUGAUAAACAGCCAGAAGGCUAGCAUCACUAGUUUGUGCAAUACUUGGAAGUGAUUGGGUGCAGCUUCUAGGGGAAAUAUAGCUGUAAUCCUGAGGCCCCCAGACCUUGAAAGGAUUGUUGUUCUAACAGUGUUGAUGAUCUUUAGGAAUACUAUAGUAUAGUCCUAGAAAUUUUGCUGACUGUCAGACGACAAUCUAUUGAUCAGUGACAACCAAGUUCCUGAGACAAUAGAGAAUAGAUCACUCCUCAAACCUACCUGUAAGCCAUAAAAUUAACAUAUCAGUAACAUGAAGAACCAGAUCUUUUCCUACAAAUUUGUCUUCUUGCUCCUGGUUCUUUGCUAAAUCUUUUUGGAACUUAGCCCACUUCAGUUGGAUUCAAUUAGUGUUACAAUCACACUAAACUUUGCCCUUGACUUGGAGAUGGGAAAUUCUUUUGAGAUACCUCACAACAUCAAUCUGCAAUCUCAGCCUUUUGAGGUCUCUUUUGAACCUCAACAGAAGGAAGUUAAAAUUUAAAGAAAUUGGAAAGGGAGUAAACAAGGGGCGGAAAGCCAAUAAGAGAAUUUUAUAUUCAAUUCUGAAGAUGAUAAAGAGUGACUGGAAUUUCUCAAAUGGAGGUCACAUAGUCAGACCUGCACUCUGAUGAUCCAUUGAACAGCUAAGUGGGAAGAGAACUGGUACAUAGAAACCAACCAAACAGCCAUAACAAGAGUCCAGCUUGAGAUAAGGAGCACCUGACAGAUGGUGACAGCAUUGUAAGCGGAGAAAAGGAGAUGGACUUGAAUAAGAAAAAGGCAUCUGAAUAACCAUUUUGCUCCUUUUGGCCUCAAUUGCGCCCUCUAUAAAAUGCAAGGGGGAAACCAGCAAUCCCGUUUUUAUUUUUGUAGUUUUUUAAAAGAUAUAAA
RNAcentral lists this long non-coding RNA (1323 nucleotides) under Sarcophilus harrisii (Tasmanian devil). Its description in RNAcentral is "lncRNA (ENSSHAG00000029859.1)". Lineage: Eukaryota; Metazoa; Chordata; Mammalia; Dasyuromorphia; Dasyuridae. The record is from RNAcentral.